AACAUUAUAUGUCAUGUACAAAAUAUAUGUAUCAGUUUGUCAUUUCCAUAACUAAGUAAACAACACUGCUAAUAACCUAUGAAACAUGAUAUGGAAAUAUGAUGAUGCUUUGAUAUCAAAAGUCAAAUAGCCAACUACAAAAUAUUGACUACCUACUGUAAAUUUUAACUACAAAACCUAUCUUAUUUCCUAUAAAUUUCUUGUAAAUUUCGAAGUAGUCAAAAUUUAUUGUUAUAAAUACAAAUACAUAAGGGAAAAACACAUUAAAAUAUCAUCAAAAUAUAUAAACUCACUUCUGUAACAUCUUUGGCAAUUCCAUACUUUUUAACCACC
RNAcentral lists this long non-coding RNA (333 nucleotides) under Lathyrus oleraceus (garden pea). RNAcentral's name for it is "Pisum sativum (pea) long non-coding RNA (PSAT_LNC039147)". The record is from RNAcentral. Lineage: Eukaryota; Viridiplantae; Streptophyta; Magnoliopsida; Fabales; Fabaceae.